This 922-nucleotide ribosomal RNA is filed under the name uncultured organism. RNAcentral's name for it is "bacterial SSU rRNA". It matches the Rfam family "Bacterial small subunit ribosomal RNA", at positions 1 to 917 of the family's 1533-position model. The record is from RNAcentral.
UGGAUCCAGACUUUGAUUAUGGCUCAGGAUGAACGCUAGCUACAGGCUUAACACAUGCAAGUCGAGGGGCAGCAUCAUCAAAGCUUGCUUUGAUGGAUGGCGACCGGCGCACGGGUGAGUAACACGUAUCCAACCUGCCGACAACACUGGGAUAGCCUUUCGAAAGAAAGAUUAAUACCGGAUGGCAUAAUUAUUCCGCAUGGGAUAAUUAUUAAAGAAUUUCGGUUGUCGAUGGGGAUGCGUUCCAUUAGGCAGUUGGCGGGGUAACGGCCCACCAAACCUACGAUGGAUAGGGGUUCUGAGAGGAAGGUCCCCCACAUUGGAACUGAGACACGGUCCAAACUCCUACGGGAGGCAGCAGUGAGGAAUAUUGGUCAAUGGACGAGAGUCUGAACCAGCCAAGUAGCGUGAAGGAUGACUGCCCUAUGGUUGUAAACUUCUUUUAUACGGGAAUAAAGUGAGCCACGUGUGGCUUUUUGUAUGUACCGUAUGAAUAAGGAUCGGCUAACUCCGUGCCAGCAGCCGCGGUAAUACGGAGGAUCCGAGCGUUAUCCGGAUUUAUUGGGUUUAAAGGGAGCGUAGGCGGGUUGUUAAGUCAGUUGUGAAAGUUUGCGGCUCAACCGUAAAAUUGCAGUUGAUACUGGCGACCUUGAGUGCAACAGAGGUAGGCGGAAUUCGUGGUGUAGCGGUGAAAUGCUUAGAUAUCACGAAGAACUCCGAUUGCGAAGGCAGCUUACUGGAUUGUAACUGACGCUGAUGCUCGAAAGUGUGGGUAUCAAACAGGAUUAGAUACCCUGGUAGUCCACACAGUAAACGAUGAAUACUCGCUGUUGGCGAUAUACAGUCAGCGGCCAAGCGAAAGCAUUAAGUAUUCCACCUGGGGAGUACGCCGGCAACGGUGCAACUCAAAGGAAUUGACGGA